GCUGUAGCUCAGUGGUAGAGUGAUUGCCUAGCACGCACAAGGACCCAGGUUCAAUUCCCAGUACUGCA
Molecule: transfer RNA, 68 nt
Filed under: Mus musculus (house mouse)
Lineage: Eukaryota; Metazoa; Chordata; Mammalia; Rodentia; Muridae
Description: tRNA-Ala
Source: RNAcentral